RNAcentral lists this small nuclear RNA (106 nucleotides) under Carlito syrichta (Philippine tarsier). The record is from RNAcentral. Lineage: Eukaryota; Metazoa; Chordata; Mammalia; Primates; Tarsiidae.
GUGCUUGCUUCAGUAGUACAUAUACUAACAUUGGAACAAUACAGAGGAGGUUAUCAUAGACUCUCCACAAGAUGAAGCGCAAAUUCAUGAAGUGUUUCAUACUUUU